This 486-nucleotide ribosomal RNA is filed under the name uncultured bacterium. Its description in RNAcentral is "bacterial SSU rRNA". It matches the Rfam family "Bacterial small subunit ribosomal RNA", at positions 29 to 532 of the family's 1533-position model. The record is from RNAcentral.
AGCGAACGUUUGCGGCGGGCCUAACACAUGCAAGUCGAACGCACUAGCAAUAGUGAGUGGCGCACGGGUGCGUAACACGUGGGUAAUCAACCCUUCAGCCUGGGAUAACGACUCGAAAGGGUCGCUAAUACCGGAUACGGCGCGAGAGGCUUCGGCUUCUCACGAGAAAGCCACGCAAGGGGCACUGAAGGACGAGCCUGCGGCCCAUCAGCUAGUUGGUGAGGUAAUGGCUCACCAAGACGAUGAUCAGUAGCUGGUCUGAGAGGACGAACAGCCACAAUGGGACUGAGACAAGGCCCAUACCCCCUACGGGGGGCGAGCAGUGGGGAAGUCUUGCGCAAUGGACGAAAGUCUGACGCAGCGAUCUCGCGUGAAGGAUGAAGCUUUGCGGAGUGUAAACUUCUUUUCUGGGAGAAAACAACUGAUGGUAUCUCAGGAAUAAGGGACGGCUAACUACGUGCCAGCAGCCGCGGUAAAGUACAGUGU